This 439-nucleotide ribosomal RNA is filed under the name uncultured bacterium. RNAcentral describes it as "partial 16S ribosomal RNA". It matches the Rfam family "Bacterial small subunit ribosomal RNA", at positions 339 to 795 of the family's 1533-position model. The record is from RNAcentral.
CUACGGGUGGCACCAGUGGGGAAUUUUGCGCAAUGGGGGAAACCCUGACGCAGCAAUACCGCGUGAGUGAAGAAGGCCUUUGGGUCGUAAAGCUCUUUUCUUGGGGAAGAUAGUGACGGUACCCAAGGAAUAAGCACCGGCUAACUCCGUGCCAGCAGCCGCGGUAAUACGGAGGGUGCAAGCGUUGUUCGGAUUUACUGGGCGUAAAGGGCACGUAGGCGGCACAGCAAGUUAAGGGUGAAAUCCCGGGGCUCAAUUCCGGAACUGCUCUUAAAACUGCUGAGCUAGAGAUAGUCAGAGGCGGGUGGAAUUCCAGGUGUAGAGGUGAAAUUCGUAGAUAUCUGGAGGAACACCGGUGGCGAAGGCGGCCCGCUGGGGCUAUUCUGACGCUAAGGUGCGAAAGCGUGGGGAGCAAACGGGAUUAGAUACCCUAGUAGUC